UUGGACAAGUGUAUUUGUGUAUGUGGGCACACCCUCCUUCCUCAAGGAUCACUGUCUGAACCCUCACUUUAAUCACAAGGAAAUGAUCAAGCUAGUCAGGAUCACGGUCUGUUGCCUCAGUGUGAAAAGGGCAACCCCUUCUUCUGGAAUGUGGAAAUUGAAGUUAGCCCCAUUGCUAAUUGAAUCAAACUGACCACAAGAGAGGAAUUGUCUGCUUAUGAAAAAAGUCUUGCUCUUCUAGCCACGUGGAGGGAGAAAGGGACUCUGCUUCUGCUAUCACAGACAUAUUUCAUUCCACUGGGGAAUAAGAAAAGUAUUCUCGGCAAAACCUAAUGUCCUGAGAGUCACUUUGAAAUGAGUUUGGGGGAUGGCUGGUAUAUGCUGUGCUCAGAAGGAAAACCCAAGCUGAUUUGACUAGAGGCUUUGCCUCACACCUGGGAAACUCAUUAAACACUGAUCAGAAGAAGUCCAAAGUGGUGACUCACCAGAAGCUCCCAUUUUGAUUUGGGGUCUCAUCCAUGAUUUGGGGUCCACUGGAACACAGAUUCUUGAGAAUGAGAGAUGCAUCCCACAGCCUGUUGUGGUGGCCCUAAAUUGAGAAGUCUGCACCCGUGAACUUCAAACCCAUGGAGGGUUCUUGACAACGUGGGAAAUCAUGUGAUGACACGGAAACUCUGUUAAUGGACCAAGGUAUAAAGAAAAUCUUCCCAACAAGCAAUUUGGUAAAUUAUACCUUUGUAAGCAGAACUGAAACAUUUCUCUCUUCUCUCCCUGAUUUCUUCAGAGAAUAGAAACUCAGGUUUUCAGAAACUUUAUCAGAUAAUUAGGAAGGCCACCUUGUAUGUAGCCUGUAAAAAACUCAAGGAUCUGGGUUUUUAAAAGGGAAGGAAUUCACCAAGAUUUUUAAGAUAAAAAUCUUUAAGACAAACCAUUCACAUGACUUUCCUAGCCCUGAGGUGCCUUUUAAAAGCUUAGUCUAAGAUUCCUCAUAAAGUUCCAAGAAAGCCAAUUAAAAAAUAAAUCUAUAUGAUCAAUUUUAUUCAUGUAAGUCAUCAGGCCAAGGUUGCUGACACCAGACUUAAUUGGCAAAUAAAUUAGUCUUGGUUUGGCUAAUAUUUGAUAAAAAUGAAAGUAAUUUUAGAGAGAAAGAGAUGUUUCAAUGAAAACUUGCUAAAUCUGUUAAUCUCGUUCUUUUACUUAUGGUCAGUAUCACUAAGACUUACUCCCUAGUAGUUCUUUGCUAUUAUGUUAUAUUGAUGCAAGUUUAACCGAGCUUCUAAAAGAACAUUCUAAGCUUAUUUCUAAAGUUUAUCUCAGCAAUCUAUUUUUGGAUAAAAAUCAGAUGCCCCAAGACCUGCAACAAGGGGACCAUGUGUACUAAAAAGGACAUAAUAUAAAAGGACUAUUUCCAAGCUUCUAGAGGAAGACCCUGAUACCUAACUAUGGAGCCAGGAGGAGGUACAACAAUUUAGGGAUUUAAGAGAGGCACUGACAGGUGCCCCUCUUCUGGCUCUACCAUCCUUUUGAAAAACCUUUUCAUUUAUUUGUAAGCAUGGGCUCUGGGAUGGCUCUAGGGGGUCCUCACAUAGAAACAUGGAGAAAGCCACCAGCUGGUGGCCUUCCUUUUCUGCCUCCUGGACUCUGUCACCAGAGGAUGGCUGAAUACAUACAGUUGGUAGCUGCCACUGCCCUAUUAACUUAAGGAAACAGAAAACUCACCUUUGGAGGAAGGCUGACUGCAAGUAUAAAAAUAGGAUAUGAGGACACAAAUGCCUGUUUGAAAUGGAUAAAAUAUUCUGUGGACACACUAUACAAAGGCAGCUAUUAUACUUGUGCCACAGGGAGACCAGAGGCGCAAGUGGUUCCUUUCCUCUGGGAUGGUUGUCAGACCCAUAGGGUCUCGACCGUGUGAUGGCCCUCUUCCACGACAAAAUGGCUUGAAAUAAUGAGUCCAGUUAGACUCUGUCACUGCUAUUCCCUGAGGUCAAAAGUUCUGUGGGUCAGCCCCCAAGAACUGUUCAGCAGCCAAAUGAAAAUGUCAACUUCUCCUCAAGUCUAAAAUGACAAGAAGCAAAGGCGACUUUCUUAGGCAACUUGACCAGGUGCAGUGAAAGCCGGUCCUACAUCACCCCCACAAUAAAUCCCUGUUCCAAGUGUCCUGAGAAGAUGUCUGGUGGCAUUGUGGGAGUCCACUAAUGGGCAUCCCUCCAGAAAAUCAAAGUGACACCUAUACUUUGUUGCAAUUGGCCAUCCAUUUCACCCUGGUAUUUAGGCCCCAAUAUCAAACACAGCCAAUCCUGAGAAAAUAAGACAUUACUGGGGAUGGUGGUCCUUUGACCCCCAGGUCUGUAUUGACUCAACAGGUGUUCCAAACAAUUUUUUUUUUGUCUUUUUGCCAUUUCUUGGGC
Phacochoerus africanus (Common warthog) is the source of this 2408-nucleotide long non-coding RNA. RefSeq lists it as uncharacterized. The transcript has 4 exons. Lineage: Eukaryota; Metazoa; Chordata; Mammalia; Artiodactyla; Suidae. The record is from RefSeq and is a predicted model, not a curated record.